Molecule: ribosomal RNA, 501 nt
Filed under: uncultured bacterium
Lineage: Bacteria
Description: partial 16S ribosomal RNA
Rfam family: Bacterial small subunit ribosomal RNA
Source: RNAcentral
AUUGAACGCUGGCGGCAGGCUUAACACAUGCAAGUCGAGCGGAGAUGAGGUGCUUGCACCUUAUCUUAGCGGCGGACGGGUGAGUAAUGCUUAGGAAUCUGCCUAUUAGUGGGGGACAACAUUCCGAAAGGAAUGCUAAUACCGCAUACGUCCUACGGGAGAAAGCAGGGGUUCUUCGGACCUUGCGCUAAUAGAUGAGCCUAAGUCGGAUUAGCUAGUUGGUGGGGUAAAGGCCUACCAAGGCGACGAUCUGUAGCGGGUCUGAGAGGAUGAUCCGCCACACUGGGACUGAGACACGGCCCAGACUCCUACGGGAGGCAGCAGUGGGGAAUACUGGACAAUGGGGGGAACCCUGAUCCAGCCAUGCCGCGUGUGUGAAGAAGGCCUUAUGGUUGUAAAGCACUUUAAGCGAGGAGGAGGCUACUGAGACUAAUACUCUUGGAUAGUGGACGUUACUCGCAGAAUAAGCACCGGCUAACUCUGUGCCAGCCGCCGCAGUAA